CCAAAUAUACAAGCGUCAGUGUCGGGAUCGAACCCAUGACCACCUGUAUACCAGGCGAAGUCGUUAACAUCUCCACCGCAGUUCACGCCCGGCGUCCGCCCUGGUAAAUCCCGAGGGUAUAUGAAGCAUAAUUGUGCAUUGUACCAGUCGUGGCGUCAUGGCUGGAAGGGAUGCUUCUCCGGCGUCAGCAUGGUGAAGUAUAGUCAAACGGCCUCCCAACUCCACUUCCCCCCCCCUCCCCGUCGCAGGGCGAAAGGAUUCAUCCAUCAGUGACUUAAAGGACUAUCAAUCAAUUAGUCGCAUAAUGCAUUGACAUGUAUAAAUGAAGGGGUAAGUGAGAAAAUAAUGAAAAAAACGUGAACAGCCACGUCAUGAGACCAAUGUUAAAAUGUGAACGUAGUUUAUUUGCUCUAAACAAAAAUCUGGUUUAUCAUUUUUAUCUGGAAGCCAAUGGGCUGAAGCACUAAACAAUGUUUUCAUUUAUACGUGGAAACAAGGCAAUUGUGGUUAUGUUUGCUUUUGCUGUGGACAAACGCCCGCUGCAUAAUGACAUCAAACUGGUAAUGAAAGUGGGGGGGGGGGGGGAUGAUGGUGGGGCCCAGGAAACUUGUACGUGGAGUAGGCAAGGUACAUGAAGACGUCUAUGAACAACUCUCAGGUAAUCGAUGCAUCCUCGUUAAUUACAAUAUAGAAACCCCUCGCCAACCGCGUUUUUAGUAUCCGCGGUAUUUGCAUUAUUUUCCUUGGGCAUACCAAUUUUAUAACUGCGGUAUGCAUAUUCUUUGGGUCUUUCGGUAAAGUCACGUAGAUAAUUUCAAAGAGAACAAAAAACACAACUACGACGUUUCGAUCGCAACACAAGUGUUCGUCAUCAGAAGAGGGAGUUUUGUGUAUCCGUGGUAUGGAGUUUUGUGUAUCAGUAUCAGCUGUAUGGGGUUUGCGUAUCUGUCGUAUGGAGUAUUGUGUAUUAGUAUCAGCUGUAUGAGGUUUUGUGUAUCAGUAUCAGCUGUAUGGGGUUUUGUGUAUCAGUAUCAGCUGUAUGAGGCUUUGUGUAUCAGUAUCAGCUGUAUGAGGUUUUGUGUAUCAGUAUCAGCUGUAUGAGGUUUUGUGUAUCAGUAUCAGCUGUAUGGGGUAUUGUGUAUCAGUAUCAGCUGUAUGAGGUUUUGUGUAUCAGUAUCAGCUGUAUGAGGUUUUGUGUAUCAGUAUCAGCUGUAUGAGGUUUAGUGUAUCAGUAUCAGCUGUAUGAGGUUUUGUGUAUCAGCUGUAUGCAUUUUUGUGUAUCCGUAUCAGCGGUAUGAGGUUUUGUGUAUCCGUGGUAUGAAAUUUUGUGUAUCAGUAUCAGCUGUAUGGGGUUUUGUGUAUCAGAAUCAGCUGUAUGAGGUUUUGUGUAUCAGUAUCAGCUGUAUGAGGUUUUGUGUAUCAGUAUCAGCUGUAUGAGUUUUUGUGUAUCAGUAUCAGCUGUAUGAGGUUUUGUGUAUCCGUGGUAUGAAGUUUUGUGUAUCAGUAUAAGCUGUAUGAGGUUUUGUGUAUCAGUAUCAGCUGUAUUGGUGUUUUGUGUAUCAGCUGUAUGAGGUUUUGUGUAUCCGUGGUAUGGGGUUUUGUGUAUCAGCUGUAUGGGGUUUUGUGUAUCAGUAUCAGCUGUAUGGGGUUUUGUGUAUCAGCUGUAUGAGGUUUUGUGUAUCAGUAUCAGCUGUAUGAGGUUUUGUGUAUCCGCGGUAUGGAGUUUUGUGUAUCAGUAUCAGCUGUAUGAGGUUUUGUGUAUCAGUAUCAGCUGUAUGAGGUUUUGUGUAUCAGUAUCAGCUGUAUGAGGUUUUGCGUAUCAGUAUCAGCUGUAUGAGGUUUUGUGUAUCAGUAUCAGCUGUAUGAGGUUUUGUGUAUCAGUAUCAGCUGUAUGAGGUUUUGUGUAUCAGUAUCAGCUGUAUGAGGUUUUGUGUAUCCGUGGUAUGGAGUUUUGUGUAUCAGUAUCAGCUGUAUGAGGUUUUGUGUAUCAGUAUCAGCUGUAUAAGGUUUUGUGUAUCCGUGGUAUGGAGUUUUGUGUAUCAGUAUCAGCUGUAUGAGGUUUUGUGUAUCCGUAGUAUGGAGUUUUGUGUAUCAGUAUCAGCUGUAUGAGGUUUUGUGUAUCAGUAUCAGCUGUAUGAAGUUUUGUGUAUCCGUGGUAUGGAGUUUUGUGUAUCAGUAUCAGCUGUAUGAGGUUUUGUGUAUCAGUAUCAGCUGUAGGAGGUUUUGUGUAUCCGUGGCAUGGAGUUUUGUGUAUCAGUAUCAGCUGUAUGAGGUUUUGUGUAUCCGUGGUAUGGAGUUUUGUGUAUCAGUAUCAGCUGUAUGAGGUUUUCUGUAUCAGUAUCAGCUGUAUAAGGUUUUGUGUAUCCGUGGUAUGGAGUUUUGUGUAUCAGUAUCAGCUGUAUGAGGUUUUGUGUAUCCGUAGUAUGGAGUUUUGUGUAUCAGUAUCAGCUGUAUGAGGUUUUGUGUAUCAGUAUCAGCUGUAUGAGGUUUUGUGUAUCCGUGGUAUGGAGUUUUGUGUAUCAGUAUCAGCUGUAUGAGGUUUUGUGUAUCCGUGGUAUGGAGUUUUGUGUAUCAGUAUCAGCUGUAUGAGGUUUUGUGUAUCCGUGGUAUGGAGUUUUGUGUAUCAGUAUCAGCUGUGUGAGGUUUUGUGUAUCAGUAUCAGCUGUAUGAGGUUUCGUGUGUCCGUGGUAUGGAGUUUUGUGUAUCAGUAUCAGCUGUAUGAGGUUUUGUGCAUCCGUGGUAUGGAGUUUUGUGUAUCAGUAUCAGCUGUAUGAGGUUUCGUGUAUCCGUGGUAUGGAGUUUUGUGUAUCAGUAUCAGCUGUAUGAGGUUUUGUGUAUCAGUAUCAGCUGUAUGAGGUUUUGUGUAUCCGUGGUAUGGAGUUUUGUGUAUCAGUAUCAGCUGUAUGAGGUUUUGUGUAUCCGUGGUAUGGAGUUUUGUGUAUCAGUAUCAGCUGUAUGAGGUUUUGUGUAUCCGUAGUAUGGAGUUUUGUGUAUCAGUAUCAGCUGUAUGAGGUUUUGUGUAUCAGUAUCAGCUGUAUGAGGUUUUGUGUAUCCGUGGUAUGGAGUUUUGUGUAUCAGUAUCAGCUGUAUGAGGUUUUGUGUAUCCGUGUUAUGGAGUUUUGUGUAUCAGUAUCAGCUGUAUGAGGUUUUGUGUAUCCGUGGUAUGGAGUUUUGUGUAUCAGUAUCAGCUGUGUGAGGUUUUGUGUAUCAGUAUCAGCUGUAUGAGGUUUCGUGUGUCCGUGGUAUGGAGUUUUGUGUAUCAGUAUCAGCUGUAUGAGGUUUUGUGCAUCCGUGGUAUGGAGUUUUGUGUAUCAGUAUCAGCUGUAUGAGGUUUCGUGUAUCCGUGGUAUGGAGUUUUGUGUAUCAGUAUCAGCUGUAUGAGGUUUUGUGUAUCAGUAUCAGCUGUAUGAGGUUUUGUGUAUCCGUGGUAUGGAGUUUUGUGUAUCAGUAUCAGCUGUAUGAGGUUUUGUGUAUCCGUGGUAUGGAGUUUUGUGUAUCAGUAUCAGCUGUGUGAGGUUUUGUGUAUCAGUAUCAGCUGUAUGAGGUUUCGUGUGUCCGUGGUAUGGAGUUUUGUGUAUCAGUAUCAGCUGUAUGAGGUUUUGUGUAUCCGUGGUAUGGAGUUUUGUGUAUCAGUAUCAGCUGUAUGAGGUUUUGUGUAUCAGUAUCAGCUGUAUGAGGUUUUGUGUAUCAGUAUCAGCUGUAUGAGGUUUUGUGUAUCAGUAUCAGCUGUAUGAGGUUUUGUGUAUCCGUGGCAUGGAGUUUUCUGUAUCAGUAUCAGCUGUAUGAGGUUUUGUGUAUCCGUGGUAUGGAGUUUUGUGUAUCAGUAUCAGCUGUGUGAGGUUUUGUGUAUCAGUAUCAGCUGUAUGAGGUUUCGUGUGUCCGUGGUAUGGAGUUUUGUGUAUCAGUAUCAGCUGUAUGAGGUUUUGUGUAUCCGUGGUAUGGAGUUUUGUGUAUCAGUAUCAGCUGUAUGAGGUUUCGUGUAUCCGUGGUAUGGAGUUUUGUGUAUCAGUAUCAGCUGUAUGAGGUUUUGUGUAUCAGUAUCAGCUGUAUGAGGUUUUGUGUAUCAGUAUCAGCUGUAUGAGGUUUUGUGUAUCAGUAUCAGCUGUAUGAGGUUUUGUGUAUCAGUAUCAGCUGUAUGAAGUUUUGUGUAUCCGUGGUAUGGAGUUUUGUGUAUCAGUAUCAGCUGUUUGAGGUUUUGUGUAUCCGCGGCUUGGCACGCCUUUCGGGCGCUCGUUAUUUCAAAAUCGCCCCGCAAUCCGCGUUCCCCUUCCUUGCACCGUCUCCAUCUCCCAGAUCCCACCACCACCAUCACUCGCUCGCUCGCUUGUUCGCACGGCGACUGUUUCUGUCUCGUGUGGACGCGGGGAAUCUCUUGGUCCGGUGUCGACACAGUCCGUGUCACCGCGGGCCGCUUUGCUUGAAUCGAUGCCGGUCAACUUCCAGAUUUUGUCACGUCCAAGUGCCCUCUGCCGUUCACAAUUCGGGUCAGUUUACGCCUUCAACAAUUCGGAUUGUUGCCGGCCGCUUGGCGUAUUUGACCCGGCCUCUCUAGCUCAAGGUUACUUCUCAGUCCGCCGAAGAGCCUGGCGUAGGAUGAAGUAGGAGUACAGGGUGCUUCAAAAAAGUGUUAACACUUACAUGGGACUCGUUUUUUAAGGAAUGGAUUAUCAUAUACCGUAAACAUGAUAACAAAUGUAUGUUGUUGAUAGCUCCACUCGUUCGCCAUCGUUGUCAACACGUGGCCUGGAACCUUCUCCAGGUCACGUGUUCGCCAUCGUUGUCAACACGUGGCCUUGAAUCUUCUCCAGGUGGUCUCUAAGAGCCUGGAGGCAGCAGCACAUGUCACGUGGUUUUGCAAAUUCUCAGAAGCUUUAUAAAAUGUUUACGCACAGAAACCGUCUUUUUUGUUGUUACAAACGACGACACGUUUUAUGAUACCCGCACAUCAGCCGGGGGUGCAAAGCUCAGAAUGUCACGCUCAUCGCUGCACCACCGCUCCCUCCGCGCGGCGUGGUGGAGAGAUAAGCGGCGUGCGUGUGACACGCGGGGUGUGUGUGGUGUGUGUGUGGUGUGUGUAGUG
This is a non-coding RNA of Petromyzon marinus (sea lamprey), 5080 nucleotides long. The record is from RefSeq and is a predicted model, not a curated record. NCBI's taxonomy places the organism in Eukaryota, Metazoa, Chordata, Hyperoartia, Petromyzontiformes, Petromyzontidae.